This 451-nucleotide ribosomal RNA is filed under the name uncultured Devosia sp. RNAcentral's name for it is "bacterial SSU rRNA". It matches the Rfam family "Bacterial small subunit ribosomal RNA", at positions 14 to 507 of the family's 1533-position model. The record is from RNAcentral. Lineage: Bacteria; Pseudomonadati; Pseudomonadota; Alphaproteobacteria; Hyphomicrobiales; Devosiaceae.
UGACUCCUGGACUCAGAACGAACGCUGGCGGCAGGCUUAACACAUGCAAGUCGAACGGUCUCUUCGGAGGCAGUGGCAGACGGGUGAGUAACGCGUGGGAAUCUACCUAGUUCUACGGAACAACAGUUGGAAACGACUGCUAAUACCGUAUACGCCCUAAGGGGGAAAGAUUUAUCGGAAUUAGAUGAGCCCGCGUAAGAUUAGCUAGUUGGUGAGGUAAUGGCUCACCAAGGCGACGAUCUUUAGCUGGUCUGAGAGGAUGAUCAGCCACACUGGGACUGAGACACGGCCCAGACUCCUACGGGAGGCAGCAGUGGGGAAUAUUGGACAAUGGGCGCAAGCCUGAUCCAGCCAUGCCGCGUGAGUGAUGAAGGCCUUAGGGGUUGUAAAGCUCUUUUCACCGAUGAAGAUAAUGACGGUAGUCGGAGAAGAAGCCCCGGCUAACUUCGUG